UACGGAGGGGGCUAGCGUUGUUCGGAAUUACUGGGCGUAAAGCGCGCGUAGGCGGCUUUGUAAGUUAGAGGUGAAAGCCCGAAGCUCAACUUCGGAAUUGCCUUUAAGACUGCAUCGCUUGAAUCAUGGAGAGGUCAGUGGAAUUCCGAGUGUAGAGGUGAAAUUCGUAGAUAUUCGGAAGAACACCAGUGGCGAAGGCGACUGACUGGACAUGUAUUGACGCUGAGGUGCGAAAGCGUGGGGAGCGAACGAGG
This 254-nucleotide ribosomal RNA is filed under the name uncultured bacterium. Its description in RNAcentral is "partial 16S ribosomal RNA". It matches the Rfam family "Bacterial small subunit ribosomal RNA", at positions 524 to 777 of the family's 1533-position model. The record is from RNAcentral.